RNA transcript from Juglans regia (Persian walnut), 1896 nucleotides. It is a transcript of the gene named glutaredoxin-C3, with no coding region annotated. Lineage: Eukaryota; Viridiplantae; Streptophyta; Magnoliopsida; Fagales; Juglandaceae. The transcript has 7 exons. The record is from RefSeq and is a predicted model, not a curated record.
CUUUGAAUAACUGCCAUACCUACCACUUUUCGCAAGGCCUGUUCAUCGGAUUUUUUCAAAAACAAACCCCCAGUGUCAAAGGGGUUAAAAUCCCCAUCUCCCCCGUCUCACUCUCUCGCUCUCUCUCUCGUGCCGAGACCCUAGCCUCCCUUCCUCUGCCGAGUGCCGAUCGAAGCUCUGAUUCCUCGUUGGCCAUCGUCUCAUCACUUACUCUCCGUCGUUGACUUCUCUCUCUCUCUCUCUCUCUCUCUCGUACCGAAACCCUAGCCUCCUGUCACUCUUUCUCUGCCGACCGAAGCUCUGUUUCCUCGUGGCCGUCGUCUUCAUCACUUUUUCGCUCCGUCAUCGACGUCAAGAAACCAAGAUUUGAAAUCUCAGAAAACGACGCCAGUGUUGACUGAAGAUCAGCCAGGAAGAUGGGCAGGGUUCAAUUGAGCCUUGUAGUUGCAAUGUUCAGCAUGGUGCUAUUAAUUGGGCAAGUAGCAAAGGAAGCCAAAGCCUCCAGUUCCACUUCUGCCUUUGUGCAGAACGCUAUCUACUCCAACAAGAUCACCAUCUUCUCUAAAUCCUACUGCCCGUACUGCUUGCGUGCCAAGCACAUAUUCAGUGAACUACAUGAGCAACCUUUUGUUGUUGAGCUUGAUCUCCGAGAUGACGGAGGGCAGAUUCAGAAUGUUAUUCUGGAUAUGGUUGGCCGAAGCACUGUCCCUCAAGUUUUUGUGAAUGGGAAGCAUAUCGGUGGCUCUGAUGAUCUCAGAGCUGCGGUCUUGAGUGGUCAAUUGCAGAAAGUUCUUGGCACGAGCUGAUGUGACACUGGGCUCAAAUGGAAGCAUAUGCUAUGUUGCUGGUUAUGAGAUGGAAAGCUUUAUCUUUGCAAAAUGAGCUAAAUAUUACAGUGAGAGUGUCUGUUAGGAUUGACAGAAGAAUGAAUCAUCGCCUGUCUUUAAUUCCAUUGAAGAACUUCUCUGCUCAGUUGGAGAGAGAUGUCUCUCAUCUUCAGGUAAUAAGCUUCAAAUUGUAUUAUGUGUGUAAUCCGGUUCUGUUUGUGGAUUUUCAAAUAAAAUUUUUUUGAUCCAUUCCAUCUCCACCUGCUAAUUUAGGUUUAAUAUAUAUUCUAUUAAACUAUUGUGCGGCGGCUGUAUUGUAUCUUUGAUUAUCAUAGCACACUAAGGAGAUAGGGAUGAGGACUUGCUAUAUGGUUUUAAUUGCCCUUGAACCGGGACAAGGAAAUAUGCUCUUCAUUUUCGUAGUGACCAAGAAACAUUGCUUUCCAUGACAUGAUUAAUGUCCAAAACUUCAUUAACAUCAGCUUAGGAACAGACAACUUCAACAAAAUCACAACCUUCCUUAUUAGACCAAAAUAUAUUACACACUCCAAAGAGAUGACAGCCUUUUCAGAAUGUCAAAUGCUGCUGUGUUACUACUGAUUAGGAAGGCUCUACAUAUGUAUCCGGUCGCCAAUUACCUUUCUGUGCACUGAGCAUCCCUUCUUGGUUCUUGGAGAAGGUUAAAUGAACCUCCCAGUGCAAAGAUUUCAGCAAGUUCUCAACUUCCCCAAUUGUGUUCGACUCAUCACGAACAAUCAACUUGCCUCCAGCUUUGAGAAAAGAUGAUCCGCAUGCAGUAGGUCAUAAGUGCGUGGGUACGUGCUGAAGGAUUCACACCAGUCAUGGUAUAUCCCAAAAAGGCCUCGUUCAUAGAUUAUGGGAAGCGUAUCUGGCGAGUCUAUGUUCACCACAUUCAACACCCAUACUCGAAGAUCCUUCAGAGCAGCGGCAAACCUGCACGCGGAAUAUCCCAUAAGUACCUUAGAUGUAUGAUGAGCCAUGAUAUAUACAUGCAUGGACGCAUUAAACAUAUGAAAAGUAGAUAAAACAUCAAUAAUAUUACCCUCCA